AAAAAGUGUACUCCUCCCCCGACAAGCGGAGCCAGUGUUCUUCUGACUGCAAAGCCCUGUGGUGUUUAGGUUGGUUCUUGGCAUUACUGCUCCACCCUAAGUCCAGCAAUGAGUACGGCUUACUGGAUUGGCCCAUUGAGGGUGAAAGGCCCGUGUGGGUGGAGACUCAGACUAUCAGUUUUGCCCUGAGCCAACCUUGGAGUCGGGUUGUUUGUGAAUGCAGCCCAAAGUGGGUGGUAAACUCCAUCCAAGGCUAAAUACUGGCACGAGUCCGAUAGCGAACAAGUACCGUGAGGGAAAGUUGAAAAGUACUUUGAAGAGAGAGUAAACAGUCCGUGAACCCGCUCAGAGGUAAACGGGUGGAGUUGAACUGGAAGCCCUGGGGAUUCAGCUGAUGAGUAUGGCAUGAGCUUGGGCAUAUUGGUCGGCUUUCAGAGUCCGCUUAGCUGCGGGUCCUUGCCUUAACGGGUUUGGAUGUGCGUUACGCUCAUUAGGCGUUGUGCGCUCUGUCUGUUCCGGGCCUGCUCGUCAGUGCAAUUCCUCAGGGUGUUCACCACGACCGGCGCUGCUGUCUGUCUGUUGCGGUCAAACCGGUUGAGCUUAGUCAUUUUGAUUAAGUUUGGUCGGGAUGGCAGGUAGCUCUCGAGAUUUUCUGGCUUCGGCUGGUCAAGCUCUUGAGUGUAAUUAGCCGACUGUAAUGGAUCUGUGCGGUGCGUCGGAGCUGGCGGCUUUGGUGUGUGUACGCGUGCUGUAGCUUUCUGGCUUGGUCAAGUUUGGUUAAUGUGUUACCUGCUUCGGUGGGUCUAUUAAUGGCUUGACUUUGCGUAGUGAGUGGUGGCGCGUGCGACACUAUCUAGGGCCAAAAGUCUGUGGUGUUGUGGUAAACUAUCCACCCGACCCGUCUUGAAACACGGACCAAGGAGUUUAACAUGUACGCGAGUCAUUGGGCGUUACGAAACCCAAAGGCGUAGUGAAAGUAAAGGUUCGGCUUGCCCGAGCUGAGGUGAGAUCCUGCUGUUUCUCUGCCUUGGACUACCAAGCAUUCGAGCAGUGGGCGCAUCACCGGCCCGUCUCAUGAUGUAGUCAUAUGACCUUUGGUUGUGUGCACCUUCGGGGCGGAACUAGAGCGUACACGUUGAGACCCGAAAGAUGGUGAACUAUGCCUGCGGAGGUUAAACCCAAAGAAACUCUGGUGGAAGACCCCAAUNCUGCCGCAAAUCGGUGGGUUAGAAAGAUAGACAACUUACGGGGGCGCCCAGAAGGAAACAGACCGGAACCCCUUGGAAAAGGGAGAAGAGGAAUAGCAAAGCACCGAAACCUGGGGCCAUAUAUUGUCAGGCAAAUGGGGGUUAAGGUUGGUUCUGGGCAUUACUGCUCCACCCUAAGUCCAGCAAUGAGUACGGCUUACUGGAUUGGCCCAUUGAGGGUGAAAGGCCCGUGUGGGUGGAGACUCAGACUAUCAGUUUUGCCCUGAGCCAACCUUGGAGUCGGGUUGUUUGUGAAUGCAGCCCAAAGUGGGUGGUAAACUCCAUCCAAGGCUAAAUACUGGCACGAGUCCGAUAGCGAACAAGUACCGUGAGGGAAAGUUGAAAAGUACUUUGAAGAGAGAGUAAACAGUCCGUGAACCCGCUCAGAGGUAAACGGGUGGAGUUGAACUGGAAGCCCUGGGGAUUCAGCUGAUGAGUAUGGCAUGAGCUUGGGCAUAUUGGUCGGCUUUCAGAGUCCGCUUAGCUGCGGGUCCUUGCCUUAACGGGUUUGGAUGUGCGUUACGCUCAUUAGGCGUUGUGCGCUCUGUCUGUUCCGGGCCUGCUCGUCAGUGCAAUUCCUCAGGGUGUUCACCACGACCGGCGCUGCUGUCUGUCUGUUGCGGUCAAACCGGUUGAGCUUAGUCAUUUUGAUUAAGUUUGGUCGGGAUGGCAGGUAGCUCUCGAGAUUUUCUGGCUUCGGCUGGUCAAGCUCUUGAGUGUAAUUAGCCGACUGUAAUGGAUCUGUGCGGUGCGUCGGAGCUGGCGGCUUUGGUGUGUGUACGCGUGCUGUAGCUUUCUGGCUUGGUCAAGUUUGGUUAAUGUGUUACCUGCUUCGGUGGGUCUAUUAAUGGCUUGACUUUGCGUAGUGAGUGGUGGCGCGUGCGACACUAUCUAGGGCCAAAAGUCUGUGGUGUUGUGGUAAACUAUCCACCCGACCCGUCUUGAAACACGGACCAAGGAGUUUAACAUGUACGCGAGUCAUUGGGCGUUACGAAACCCAAAGGCGUAGUGAAAGUAAAGGUUCGGCUUGCCCGAGCUGAGGUGAGAUCCUGCUGUUUCUCUGCCUUGGACUACCAAGCAUUCGAGCAGUGGGCGCAUCACCGGCCCGUCUCAUGAUGUAGUCAUAUGACCUUUGGUUGUGUGCACCUUCGGGGCGGAGCUAGAGCGUACACGUUGAGACCCGAAAGAUGGUGAACUAUGCCUGCGGAGGUUGAAGCCAGAGGAAACUCUGGUGGAGGACCGCAGCGAUUCUGACGCGCGAAAUAGUAUCGCUCUACACAGUGGAGACCGGAGGGCGGG
Molecule: ribosomal RNA, 2546 nt
Filed under: Clinostomum brieni
Lineage: Eukaryota; Metazoa; Platyhelminthes; Trematoda; Strigeidida; Clinostomidae
Description: eukaryotic LSU rRNA
Rfam family: Eukaryotic large subunit ribosomal RNA (bases 1198-2546)
Source: RNAcentral